RNAcentral lists this unclassified non-coding RNA (244 nucleotides) under Quadricrura meridionalis. RNAcentral describes it as "partial contains 5.8S ribosomal RNA, internal transcribed spacer 2, and large subunit ribosomal RNA". The record is from RNAcentral. Lineage: Eukaryota; Fungi; Ascomycota; Dothideomycetes; Pleosporales; Tetraplosphaeriaceae.
CGCACAUUGCGCCCUUUGGUAUUCCUUAGGGCAUGCCUGUUCGAGCGUCAUCAAACCCCUCAAGCUCUGCUUGGUGUUAGGCGCUUGUCCCGCCAUUAGCGCGGACUCGCCUUGAAUCCAUUGGCGGCCUUCGUUUUGGGCUAUCGAGCGCAGCAGAGUCGCGCCUCGUGCCCAGCGCGUCGGCGUCCAGGAAGCACAAUCACAUUUUGACCUCGGAUUAGGUAGGGAUACCCGCUGAACUUAA